RNAcentral lists this ribosomal RNA (253 nucleotides) under uncultured bacterium. RNAcentral's name for it is "partial 16S ribosomal RNA". It matches the Rfam family "Bacterial small subunit ribosomal RNA", at positions 524 to 776 of the family's 1533-position model. The record is from RNAcentral.
UACGGAGGAUCCGGGCGUUAUCCGGAUUUAUUGGGUUUAAAGGGAGCGUAGGUGGAUUGUUAAGUCAGUUGUGAAAGUUUGCGGCUCAACCGUAAAAUUGCAGUUGAAACUGGCAGUCUUGAGUACAGUAGAGGUGGGCGGAAUUCGUGGUGUAGCGGUGAAAUGCUUGGAUAUCACGAAGAACUCCGAUUGCGAAGGCAGCUCACUGGACUGCAACUGACACUGAGGCUCGAAAGUGUGGGUAUCAAACAGG